Long non-coding RNA from Oenanthe melanoleuca, 338 nucleotides. RefSeq lists it as uncharacterized. The record is from RefSeq and is a predicted model, not a curated record. The transcript is spliced from 3 exons. NCBI's taxonomy places the organism in Eukaryota, Metazoa, Chordata, Aves, Passeriformes, Muscicapidae.
GGCUUUGCUACACAAACUGCUAUCUGCAAAGGGCUAUUGCUUACCUGAUUCUACUUGAAGAAAAUUGCCAUGAAAUCUUUCUGAGAGCAGCAUCUCUCUGGCAUAGUCCCAGCUGGCAUUUGCUUCAUGUGGACAAAGCGCAGAAAGUUUUCCAAGUCCAUUUCAGAAUAUCAGAUGCCCUUAAAGGUUUGAAAGGACUUAUCAGUCAGCAACUUUGGAAGAGCAUUUCAAACCCACUGCCAAAUUAAUGGGUCAGCUAAAUAGAAAUUACAAGAAUUUGUCUCCACUGCCUUCCAAAAGCAUGGCUGGUCACAGACUGUUCUAUCUUUUCAUGAAAA